Molecule: non-coding RNA, 719 nt
Organism: Paramuricea clavata
Lineage: Eukaryota; Metazoa; Cnidaria; Anthozoa; Malacalcyonacea; Plexauridae
Source: the annotation of a GenBank genome assembly
GUGAGCUUUUAGCUAGAAUACAGGCGUAAGAAGGGUUCAAAUCGACUGGCAUUCAAAACAGGGCAGUCAAAUUGUAAACGCCAAGCGUAUCGACUGCUAGCCUGCGCGUAGCAGUCGCUUUAUUUUAUUGAAGGUUUUGUUGAACAAAUGUUUUUCUAACCCGCCAUUUAUUCAAAAUCCUCAAAACCUUCAAUAAAAUAAACAGACUGCUACGCAAGCUAAUCGAUAAUUUGAGUAUCAGGCUCUAUCGCCGCCAAUUAAUCCUGGCGAAUGAAAACAUAAGGGCCUGAUACUCAGGUUAGCUAAUCAAUCGCUUGUACUCGAAAGAUUGGAAAUAGUGAUUGUUCCCCCCCCCCCCUCCUCUCAAAGCAUGCGUGGAAGAACUUUUAGCAAGGUGUAAUAUAAAUGAUCUUUUACGAAAAUAUAAUUGUUGAAGAUUAAGCGGAACACUAUUUUUUAAAUUUUUUCCCCUUUGUACAGCUUUGUUAAUAUUUACAAAUAUUUUCUAAUAUUUAAUAAUAUUGGGCUAGGGACCUACUAGAAACCCUUAACAGGCUUUUUAAUUUAGGCCCCUAGUUAUAGUUCAUUGUUAUCUAUUAAUUAAUAUAUUUACAGUAAAAUCAGAAAAACAAUUAUCUUAGAGUGUAUUAUUUACAAAAGGAAGGAAAGAACUAUAAAGCAAAAUAAUUACAGUACCAAUAUACUCAUAUAUAAAGGCA